UGACACCUUUGUCUGGUCCCCGUGAUUUU
RNAcentral lists this non-coding RNA (29 nucleotides) under Rattus norvegicus (Norway rat). The record is from RNAcentral. Lineage: Eukaryota; Metazoa; Chordata; Mammalia; Rodentia; Muridae.